RNAcentral lists this ribosomal RNA (253 nucleotides) under uncultured bacterium. RNAcentral describes it as "partial 16S ribosomal RNA". It matches the Rfam family "Bacterial small subunit ribosomal RNA", at positions 524 to 776 of the family's 1533-position model. The record is from RNAcentral.
UACGUAGGUGGCAAGCGUUGUCCGGAUUUACUGGGCGUAAAGAGCGCGCAGGCGGUCGUUCAAGUCGGGGGUGAAAGCCCCCGGCUCAACUGGGGAGGGUCACGCGAUACUGAUCGACUCGAAGGCAGGAGAGGGUAGUGGAAUUCCCGGUGUAGUGGUGAAAUGCGUAGAUAUCGGGAGGAACACCAGUGGCGAAGGCGACUACCUGGCCUGUUCUUGACGCUGAGGCGCGAAAGCUAGGGGAGCAAACGGG